This is a long non-coding RNA of Dromiciops gliroides (monito del monte), 852 nucleotides long. RefSeq lists it as uncharacterized. The record is from RefSeq and is a predicted model, not a curated record. NCBI's taxonomy places the organism in Eukaryota, Metazoa, Chordata, Mammalia, Microbiotheria, Microbiotheriidae. The transcript has 4 exons.
CACAGCAACACCCCCACUCCCCGUCUUCUCUUUGCCCUUUCUCCCUCCUCGCCCUGCACCCGUGCCUUGGAGCGCAUAGAGUAAACCCCAAACUUUGCCCCAACAAGUUAACGUUUUAGUAAGUGACGUGAUGCAGCUUUAGGAAUUCCUACAAACUUGAGAAAAAGUGGACCUUCUGUGAUCUAGGACUAGGUAAGAGCUGGUGAUGAAAGGAAAAAAGAACCGGAAUUAAAGAGAAAGUGGCAGCUUUUUUUAGAGUUCCCCUCUCCCAUGCGAUCAGCAGGCGCAGCAGCAGCAGCAGCAUACCCCUUCUGCCAAUGACAUGAGGCUCCGGCUGCUACUGCAGGGACCCAGGCGGAGAAGAUGGAUCACACCUGGGUAUAACAUUUCAGCAGUUGGUGACAGCAAGUGGUCCUUUCAGUCCAUUCAUAGCUCUGUGGAGACCACAGGGGAGUUUUUCAUAAGGUCUGACAAUGUCAUUGGAAGUAGAGAGAAGGCAUUUGUGAGAGAAACAGCAGCAGCAGCAGUGAACCUUUGCAUCUGAGUAAAAUGCUGUGGAAUGGUGACAAGGAUGAAACAAACAUAAGAUUUUCUACAAGGUGGCAAAAGAAGCCAAGUGCUGCCUGGAACCAGAAUAAAAUGUCAUUGGGAGGGUGUGAUUGCAGUAUUCCCUCCAUUUCCUGCCAUGGGAUCCAUAUCCAGGAAUUCUCUCCUGCUCUCCAAACACCACCUGAAUUUGACAGAACAUUUUGAAUUGGUUAUACCAUGUGCCAAACCUGUUAGUUGUAACUCUGCUAUAUGCAAAUAAAUGUUUGUUCAAUGUUUUCUGAUGAUUAUGAAAAUAAACAUGUG